Small nucleolar RNA from Artibeus jamaicensis (Jamaican fruit-eating bat), 134 nucleotides. RefSeq annotates it as small nucleolar RNA SNORA42/SNORA80 family. The record is from RefSeq and is a predicted model, not a curated record. The transcript has a single exon. NCBI's taxonomy places the organism in Eukaryota, Metazoa, Chordata, Mammalia, Chiroptera, Phyllostomidae.
GCAUAGGUUUGAAUUUACGGCAGGCCCCUCCCCCUGGGUCUGCCAUAGUGCCUCAUGCCCGAGCAAGCUGUGGCCUCGAACCAUUGCCUGGCCUCUGCCCUUAGGCUGCAGGCAUUGAAGCAGGUUGCAUGGGG